UGGGGAAUAUUGCACAAUGGGCGCAAGCCUGAUGCAGCCAUGCCGCGUGUGUGAAGAAGGCCUUCGGGUUGUAAAGCACUUUCAGCGGGGAGGAAGGCGGUGAGGUUAAUAACCUCAUCGAUUGACGUUACCCGCAGAAGAAGCACCGGCUAACUCCGUGCCAGCAGCCGCGGUAAUACGGAGGGUGCAAGCGUUAAUCGGAAUUACUGGGCGUAAAGCGCACGCAGGCGGUCUGUCAAGUCGGAUGUGAAAUCCCCGGGCUCAACCUGGGAACUGCAUUCGAAACUGGCAGGCUAGAGGCUUGUAGAGGGGGGUAGAAUUCCAGGUGUAGCGGUGAAAUUCGUAGAGAUCUGGAGGAAUACCGGUGGCGAAGGCGGCCCCCUGGACAAAGACUGACGCUCAGGUGCGAAAGCGUGGGGAGCAAACAGG
Molecule: ribosomal RNA, 429 nt
Filed under: Chloroflexota bacterium
Lineage: Bacteria; Bacillati; Chloroflexota
Description: Chloroflexi bacterium partial 16S ribosomal RNA
Rfam family: Bacterial small subunit ribosomal RNA
Source: RNAcentral